UGGGGAAUAUUGCACAAUGGGGGAAACCCUGAUGCAGCCAUGCCGCGUGUAUGAAGAAGGCCUUAGGGUUGUAAAGUACUUUCGGUGAUGAGGAAGGUACUUGGUCUAAUAGGCCAAGUAAUUGACGUUAAUUACAGAAGAAGCACCGGCUAACUCCGUGCCAGCAGCCGGUGAUAAUGAGCGGAGGGUGCGUAAGCGUUAAUCGAUGGACUAGGGCGUGAAGGCAUGUAGGCGGAUGAUUAAGUUAGGUGUGAAAUCCCCGAGCUCAACUUGGGAAUUGCAUUUAAAACUGGUCGUCUAGAGUAUUGUAGAGGAAGGUAGAAUUCCACGUGUAGCGGUGAAAUGCGUAGAGAUGUGGAGGAAUACCGGUGGCGAAGGCGGCCUUUCUUGGACAGAUACUGACGCUGAGAUGCGAAAGCGUGGGGAGCAAACA
RNAcentral lists this ribosomal RNA (433 nucleotides) under uncultured Orbus sp. RNAcentral's name for it is "bacterial SSU rRNA". It matches the Rfam family "Bacterial small subunit ribosomal RNA", at positions 355 to 774 of the family's 1533-position model. Lineage: Bacteria; Pseudomonadati; Pseudomonadota; Gammaproteobacteria; Orbales; Orbaceae. The record is from RNAcentral.